GAGCUGAGCUGCCCCAUGAGUGUGAAAGGCACCUCAAGCCGUUGCAUUUCCUCCAGUGCAGUUCAGCAUGGACUUGCCUUGGCCCCAGCCUGCGCAUGUGGGAAUUGCUAUACGAAACUCCAUCUCCUCCCCGCCAAGGCACGUUGAAUCUUUGGCAGCUCAUGAGCGGCCGGCAGACCACAAGUUCAGAAACACCCGUCUCGUCCUCUCCUCCUAACAGCUAACAGCGACUCCCGACCUGAGCGAAUUCUGCCAUGGCCGAAAGCAGAGGAUGUUUGCAGUGCAGGGAGCUGAUCUGCUGACUUACCCUUCAUCUCUCGCAAGAACGCCAGAUAUGGCUGCAACUCAGGCAUUUAUGUGGAUCAUCCCCGUGGCUUUUCCAUUGCUCUGGGGUCCUGUGAUGUCCCACCUGGCAGGAGCUGGCGUAUCUUAGACGUCCAUGAAAUGAAAGGUGAGGUGCUUCCUCGGAGAGUGCUAAACACCAGGGAGGGAGCUUGACUUAGACCAGAAAACAGCAUUGGUGAGAUAUCCUGAGAAGAGAGAAAGUGACUGCAGACUUGUAC
Molecule: long non-coding RNA, 563 nt
Filed under: Apteryx owenii (little spotted kiwi)
Lineage: Eukaryota; Metazoa; Chordata; Aves; Apterygiformes; Apterygidae
Description: lncRNA (ENSAOWG00000004458.1)
Source: RNAcentral